GAUGAACGCUGGCGGCGUGCUUAACACAUGCAAGUCGAACGAAGCACUUUUUUUUAUUUCCUUCGGGACUGAUUAUUUUGUGACUGAGUGGCGGACGGGUGAGUAACGCGUUGGUAACCUGCCUUUUACAGGGGGAUAACAGUUGGAAACGGCUGCUAAUACCGCAUAAGCGCCCAGCAUCGCAUUAUGCUGUGUGAAAAACUCCGGUGGUAUAAGAUGGACCCGCGUUGGAUUAGCUAGUUGGUGAGGUAACGGCCCACCAAGGCGACGAUCCAUAGACGACAAGAGAGGGAGACCGGCCACAAUGGGACUGAGACACGGCACAAAAUCCGACGGGAGGAAGCAGUGGGGAAUAUUGCAAAAUGGGCGAAAGCCUGAUGCAGCGACGACGCGUGAGAGAAGAAGUAUUUAGGUAUGUAAAGCUCUAUCAGAAGGGAAGAUAAUGACGGUACCUGAAUAAGAAGCACCGGCUAAAUACGUG
RNAcentral lists this ribosomal RNA (481 nucleotides) under uncultured bacterium. Its description in RNAcentral is "partial 16S ribosomal RNA". It matches the Rfam family "Bacterial small subunit ribosomal RNA", at positions 28 to 507 of the family's 1533-position model. The record is from RNAcentral.